CAGUAGCCGCGGUAAUACGAAGGGGGCUAGCGUUGCUCGGAAUUACUGGGCGUAAAGGGAGCGUAGGCGGGUCGUUUAGUCAGAGGUGAAAUCCCGGGGCUCAACCUCGGAACUGCCUUUGAUACUGGCGACCUUGAGUAUGGGAGAGGUGAGUGGAACUCCGAGUGUAGAGGUGAAAUUCGUAGAUAUUCGGAAGAACACCAGUGGCGAAGGCGACUCACUGGCCCAUUACUGACGCUGAGGCUCGAAAGCGUGGGGAGCAAACAGGAUUAGAUACCCCCGUAGUCCCUGUCUCUUAUAC
This 301-nucleotide ribosomal RNA is filed under the name uncultured bacterium. RNAcentral describes it as "partial 16S ribosomal RNA". It matches the Rfam family "Bacterial small subunit ribosomal RNA", at positions 509 to 807 of the family's 1533-position model. The record is from RNAcentral.